AAUGGGGGCAACCCUGAUCCAGCCAUGCCGCGUGAGUGAAGAAGGCCUUCGGGUUGUAAAGCUCUUUCGGACGGAAAGAAAUCGCGCGGGUGAAUAAUCCGCGUGGAUGACGGUACCGUAAGAAGAAGCACCGGCUAACUACGUGCCAGCAGCCGCGGUAAUACGUAGGGUGCGAGCGUUAAUCGGAAUUACUGGGCGUAAAGCGUGCGUAGGCGGCGCUGUAAGACAGGUGUGAAAUCCCCGGGCUUAACCUGGGAAUUGCGCUUGUGACUGCAGUGCUCGAGUGCGGCAGAGGGGGGUGGAAUUCCACGUGUAGCAGUGAAAUGCGUAGAGAUGUGGAGGAACACCGAUGGCGAAGGCAGCCCCCUGGGUCGACACUGACGCUCAGGCACGAAAGCGUGGGGAGCAAA
This 410-nucleotide ribosomal RNA is filed under the name uncultured bacterium. RNAcentral's name for it is "bacterial SSU rRNA". It matches the Rfam family "Bacterial small subunit ribosomal RNA", at positions 370 to 772 of the family's 1533-position model. The record is from RNAcentral.